Molecule: ribosomal RNA, 447 nt
Filed under: uncultured bacterium
Lineage: Bacteria
Description: bacterial SSU rRNA
Rfam family: Bacterial small subunit ribosomal RNA
Source: RNAcentral
UACCAGACUCCUACGGGAGGCAGCAGUGGGGAAUAUUGCACAAUGGGGGAAACCCUGAUGCAGCGACGCCGCGUGAGUGAAGAAGUGAUUCGUUAUGUAAAGCUCUAUCAGCAGGGAAGAAAAUGACGGUACCUGACUAAGAAGCCCCGGCUAACUACGUGCCAGCAGCCGCGGUAAUACGUAGGGGGCAAGCGUUAUCCGGAUUUACUGGGUGUAAAGGGAGCGUAGACGGCAGCGCAAGUCUGGAGUGAAAUGCCGGGGCCCAACCCCGGAACUGCUCUGGAAACUGUGAAGCUGGAGUGCAGGAGAGGUAAGCGGAAUUCCUGGUGUAGCGGUGAAAUGCGUAGAUAUCGCGCAGAACUCCGAUUGCGAAGGCAGCAUGCCGGCUCCACACUGACGCUGAGGCACGAAAGCGUGGGUAUCGAACAGGAUUAGAUACCCCGGUAU